RNAcentral lists this ribosomal RNA (460 nucleotides) under uncultured bacterium. Its description in RNAcentral is "partial 16S ribosomal RNA". It matches the Rfam family "Bacterial small subunit ribosomal RNA", at positions 338 to 795 of the family's 1533-position model. The record is from RNAcentral.
CCUACGGGAGGCAGCAGUGAGGAAUAUUGGUCAAUGGGCUUACGCCUGAACCAGCCAAGUCGCGUGAGGGAAGACUGCCCUAUGGGUUGUAAACCUCUUUUGUCAGGGAGCAACGCCGGCUACGUGUGCCCAGGCGGAGAGUACCUGGAGAAAAAGCAUCGGCUAACUCCGUGCCAGCAGCCGCGGUAAUACGGAGGAUGCGAGCGUUAUCCGGAUUUAUUGGGUUUAAAGGGUGCGCAGGCGGAAUGCGAAGUCAGCGGUAAAAUCGCGGGGCUCAACCCUGUCGCGCCGUUGAAACUGGCGGUCUUGAGUGGGCGAGAAGUAUGCGGAAUGCGUGGUGUAGCGGUGAAAUGCAUAGAUAUCACGCAGAACUCCGAUUGCGAAGGCAGCAUACCGGCGCCCAACUGACGCUGAAGCACGAAAGCGUGAGUAUCGAACAGGAUUAGAUACCCUAGUAGUC